GACGAACGCUGGCGGCGUGCCUAAUACAUGCAAGUCGAACGCAGUUGGGACGGGUGAGUAACACGUGGGUAACCUCCCAUCAGAGGGGAUAACACUUGGAAACAGGUGCUAAACCGAUACUGAUGGCUGAACCCGCGGUGCAUGAGCUAGUUGGUGAGGUAACGGCUCACAAAGGCUACGAUGCAUAGCCGAUCUGAUAGGGUGAUCGGUCACACUGGGACUGAGACACGGACCAGACGCCUACGGGAGGCAGCAGUAGGGAAGCUUCGGCAAUGGACGAACGUCUGACCGAGCAACGCCGCGUGAGUGAAGAAGGGUUUCGGAUCGUAAAACUCUGUUGUUAGAGAAGCGGUAUCUAACCAGAAAGCCACGGCUAACUACGUGCCAGCAGCCGCGGUAAUUC
This 403-nucleotide ribosomal RNA is filed under the name uncultured bacterium. RNAcentral's name for it is "partial 16S ribosomal RNA". It matches the Rfam family "Bacterial small subunit ribosomal RNA", at positions 28 to 526 of the family's 1533-position model. The record is from RNAcentral.